UACGUAGGUCCCGAGCGUUGUCCGGAUUUAUUGGGCGUAAAGCGAGCGCAGGUGGUUUAUUAAGUCUGGUGUAAAAGGCAGUGGCUCAACCAUUGUAUGCAUUGGAAACUGGUAGACUUGAGUGCAGGAGAGGAGAGUGGAAUUCCAUGUGUAGCGGUGAAAUGCGUAGAUAUAUGGAGGAACACCGGUGGCGAAGGCGGCUUACUGGACGGCAACUGACGCUGAGGCUCGAAAGCGUGGGGAGCAAACAGG
RNAcentral lists this ribosomal RNA (252 nucleotides) under uncultured bacterium. RNAcentral's name for it is "partial 16S ribosomal RNA". It matches the Rfam family "Bacterial small subunit ribosomal RNA", at positions 524 to 776 of the family's 1533-position model. The record is from RNAcentral.